RNAcentral lists this ribosomal RNA (163 nucleotides) under uncultured bacterium. Its description in RNAcentral is "partial 16S ribosomal RNA". It matches the Rfam family "Bacterial small subunit ribosomal RNA", at positions 354 to 509 of the family's 1533-position model. The record is from RNAcentral.
GUAGGGAAUCUUCCACAAUGGGCGCAAGCCUGAUGGAGCAACACCGCGUGAGUGAAGAAGGGUUUCGGCUCGUAAAGCUCUGUUGUUGGAGAAGAACGUGCGUGAGAGUAACUGUUCACGCAGUGACGGUAUCCAACCAGAAAGUCACGGCUAACUACGUGCC